GCCAACUACAGCUGUGAAUACAUGUGAUACCAACAAAGUCAAAGUACAGCUCAGCAUCAAACUAACAAACUAAUAAGUUAAAAGAAGCUUCCCUCCAAAUACUGCAACAUAGGUCAUGAGCAAUGUGAUGAAAGGGAGGCGAAGGUGAGUGAGGUUGUGAACUGUGGGCUGUGGCUGUGAGUGCGAAAGGUGAGACUGCGAGAGUUAUGAUGACCUGCUUGAGACGUAGGUUGAGAAACCAGGGGCGGUUACCAAAAUUGAGAGGAAAAAUAAUCUCAGUUGUAUUGAAUUGAAUGGAAAAGAACAGUGUUCAGCUUAUAUACAAAAUGAGUAAAGUGCUAACUAACUACAGCUGUGAAUACACGUG
This 367-nucleotide unclassified non-coding RNA is filed under the name Hevea brasiliensis (rubber tree). Lineage: Eukaryota; Viridiplantae; Streptophyta; Magnoliopsida; Malpighiales; Euphorbiaceae. The record is from RNAcentral.